ACUAUUUCCAUAGAGCGGGGACCGAGCGAGCCGACGAGCGACCGCGGUAAAGGUAUCGCGCCGUAGAAAGUGACCGCUGAGUUUGGUUUCAUGUUUUGUAGUUGCAUACCCAUAUAUCAUCUUUUGUAUAUGAUGAUUAGAGAUGUAAAGAAAUGAAUGUAAGCUUUCUAUUUUGAAGAAAUGUGAUGUAAAAAGAAAUGAUGAAAAGCAUGUAUGUGAUAAAAGAAUCAUGAAUGUAAAUGUUGAAUGCUUGUAAAUGAUUAAAAGUUAAUCAUUCUACUUGUAUGUUGUAUAGUUUAGUAUUCUUUCAUCUGGCUAUUGCUUACCCUCGUGUAAGCCAUUAUGUAUGUUUCCGCUUGUGCACUUCUCUUUGCUUGAAUUGUACAUGUGUUUAGCCUUGGGCGGACAGGGGAGGCUCUGUCCGUUCGGCGUCUGUCUGACCUUUGCAAAUUGCGAGGUUCGAGUGUUCCGAUGUGUUAUG
This 481-nucleotide long non-coding RNA is filed under the name Ananas comosus (pineapple). RNAcentral describes it as "long non-coding RNA (ACOM_LNC034912)". The record is from RNAcentral. Lineage: Eukaryota; Viridiplantae; Streptophyta; Magnoliopsida; Poales; Bromeliaceae.